AACGAACGCUGGCGGCAGGCUUAACACAUGCAAGUCGAACGCAUCCUUCGGGGUGAGUGGCAGACGGGUGAGUAACGCGUGGGAACGUGCCCUUCAGUUCGGGAUAACCCAGGGAAACUUGGGCUAAUACCGGAUACGUGCGAGAGCAGAAAGAUUUAUCGCCGAAGGAUCGGCCCGCGUCUGAUUAGCUAGUUGGUGGGGGAAUGGCCCACCAAGGCGACGAUCGGUAGCUGGUCUGAGCGGAUGAUCAGCCACAUUGGGACUGAGACACGGCUCAAACUCCUACGGGAGGCAGCAGUGGGGAAUAUUGGACAAUGGGCGCAAGCUUGAUCCAGCCAUGCCGCGUGAGUGAUGAAGGCCUUAGGGUUGUAAAGCUCUUUCGUCCGGGACGAUAAUGACGGUACCGGAAGAAGAAGCCCCGGCUAACUUCGUGCCAGCCGCCGCGGUAA
Molecule: ribosomal RNA, 449 nt
Filed under: uncultured bacterium
Lineage: Bacteria
Description: partial 16S ribosomal RNA
Rfam family: Bacterial small subunit ribosomal RNA
Source: RNAcentral